RNAcentral lists this ribosomal RNA (406 nucleotides) under uncultured bacterium. RNAcentral describes it as "partial 16S ribosomal RNA". It matches the Rfam family "Bacterial small subunit ribosomal RNA", at positions 29 to 526 of the family's 1533-position model. The record is from RNAcentral.
AUUGAACGCUGGCGGCAGGCUUCACACAUGCAAGUCGAGCGAGCGGCGGACGGGUGAGUAAUGUUUGGGAAACUGCCUGAUGGAGGGGGAUAACUACUGGAAACGGUAGCUAAUACCGCAUACCAUCAGAUGUGCACAGAUGGGAUUCGCUAGUUGGUGGGGUAAUGGUUCACCUAGGCGACGAUCCCUAGCUGGUCUGAGAGGAUGCCAAGUCACACGGGAAAGGAGACAAGGUCAAGACUGCGACGGGAGGCAGCAGUGGGGAAUAUUGCACAAGGGGGGCAAGCCUGAGGCAGCCAUGCCGCGUGGUGGAAGAAGGCCUUCGGGUUGUAAAGCACUUUCGGCCAGGAGGCGUUACCCGCAGAAGAAGCACCGGCUAACGCCGUGCCAGCAGCCGCGGUAAUUC